GCCGCCUUAGCUCAGCUGGCAGAGCACUUGACUUGUAAUCAUGAGGUCUUCCGUUCGAAACGGAAAGGCGGCU
RNAcentral lists this transfer RNA (73 nucleotides) under Termitinemataceae bacterium. Its description in RNAcentral is "tRNA-Thr". It matches the Rfam family "tRNA". From Rfam's summary of the family: Transfer RNA (tRNA) molecules are approximately 80 nucleotides in length. Their secondary structure includes four short double-helical elements and three loops (D, anti-codon, and T loops). The record is from RNAcentral. Lineage: Bacteria; Pseudomonadati; Spirochaetota; Spirochaetia; Spirochaetales; Termitinemataceae.